UAUGAGUUUAAUAUAUUUUUAACAAUUCACUAGUUGGCGGAGAGAUACCUAUACCACAUGUGCCUACAAAAAUAUCUCUAAGGGAUACCCCUUAUAAUUACGGGGUGGAGAGAUAUAAAUUUAUUUUUAAUAAAUGUUUAUACUUUUUAUUAUUUGAUAUUAUAAAUAAUUUUUUAUUAUUUCAUAGUAUAGUUUAGUUAUUAAAUUGAAGGAAAAAUAUAUAUAACCUCAUUAAAUUUUAUACUUUUUGCAAAUAGAAAUCAUCAACUUUAAUUUAAUCAUACUCAAACCUUAAACUUCUCACAUUCAUCACAUUGACCCAUAUGUUAAGUUUCUAUUACAUUAUUUACCAGUGAAAUCUAACUCUUUAAAUGUAGAACAUUGAUUUAUUUAUUUAAAAGUAUCAUAAAAAAUUACAAUAGUGGGGCUAUUCUUCUUCCUGAGAGAGAAAAGUUUCAUCUCAACCACCAUAUCCAAUGAAUCAUAGAGAGAGACACAUCAGCAGCAUUGGCUCCUGGAUUCUAACCAUAAAAUAACAAAGCACUUAACAACAUUUUUUUUUACCAAAAACAUUAUAGUGCAGUAAUGGAAGAUAGUGAUGAUGAUAUGAAUAUGCACAACCACUAUGAUAAGAACCUUUCUACCUCACAAUGAAAACUCCAUUUUCAUGGGUUAGAUUCUUUUACCUUCAUCUUCUUCUUCCCACGUUAUCCCACCUCUUCACGGUUGCAAUUGGAGGAAUCACUAAUUCAAUGGCCACUCACGUUUCUAGCAAGAGUCAACUUUUUUC
Molecule: long non-coding RNA, 790 nt
Filed under: Lupinus angustifolius (narrow-leaved blue lupine)
Lineage: Eukaryota; Viridiplantae; Streptophyta; Magnoliopsida; Fabales; Fabaceae
Description: long non-coding RNA (LANG_LNC000565)
Source: RNAcentral